Molecule: ribosomal RNA, 497 nt
Filed under: uncultured bacterium
Lineage: Bacteria
Description: partial 16S ribosomal RNA
Rfam family: Bacterial small subunit ribosomal RNA
Source: RNAcentral
GACGAACGCUGGCGGCGUGCCUAAUACAUGCCAGUAGAACGCUGAAGAGAGGAGCUUGCUCUUCUUGGAUGAGUUGCGAACGGGUGAGUAACGCGUAGGUAACCUGCCUUGUAGCGGGGGAUAACUAUUGGAAACGAUAGCUAAUACCGCAUAACAAUGGAUGACACAUGUCAUUUAUUUGAAAGGGGCAAUUGCUCCACUACAAGAUGGACCUGCGUUGUAUUAGCUAGUAGGUGAGGUAAUGGCUCACCUAGGCGACGAUACAUAGCCGACCUGAGAGGAUGAUCGGCCACACUGGGACUGAGACACGGCCCAGACUCCUACGGGAGGCAGCAGUAGGGAAUCUUCGGCAAUGGGGGCAACCCUGACCGAGCAACGCCGCGUGAGUGAAGAAGGUUUUCGGAUCGUAAAGCUCUGUUGUAAGUCAAGAACGGGUGUGAGAGUGGAAAGUUCACACUGUGACGGUAGCUUACCAGAAAGGGACGGCUAACUACGUG